This 737-nucleotide long non-coding RNA is filed under the name Cottoperca gobio. RNAcentral's name for it is "lncRNA (ENSCGOG00000018654.1)". Lineage: Eukaryota; Metazoa; Chordata; Actinopteri; Perciformes; Bovichtidae. The record is from RNAcentral.
GGCGAGUGUAAACAAGAGAAAGCUGGAUGCAGAAUGUCACUUUCCAGGAGAAAUGGACGAACGAUUAUUUAUUUGUGUAAGUUAAAGGCCAGUGUGUCGAGUUUGUGCGGACGUACUUACGGUGAUGAAAUAAUAAUAAUACAAAUUCUUCAUUAGCGUCAUUACAGCACGAGACAUCUCAAACUGCACGAGCUGAGAGGACGAGUGUUUGGAUAAAGUUAACGCUCUUCGGUGGAGUUUGGCCCAACAAGCAGCUCUCUGCAGAGCGGAACAUACAAACAUGGAGAGAUAGAGAGGUAGACCCCCCCACCAAGAACACACUGUUGCACCACUGCUGUGCAGUUAUCACUGCCAUGUGCAAUACUCACUGUAUUUAUAUCACUUGCUUUCAGAGUGGACACAAACGCACAAGAGUUCAACUGAGUUACAGGCAGCAAGAUCUGUGUAUUCAUCUUGGAUGCAACACAGAGUAACCACACCGACCUGAGACGCAUAACGUUUUUAAAUUCUUUCAACUUUCUCAGUGCAGUCUCACCGUUGAGAAGUGUUUGUGCUGUACUUUGUUCUAUCUGUACAUACUGUAUGAUGGCACAGUAAAUCUCAGGUCAUCAGUAUUGUAUUUAACCUCUCCUGCUCUCCUCGCUCAUUAAUGUAUUGUCACCUUGAUCUGAAGUCUGGAAAAACAAUAAAAAUUCCUCCUUUGCACUAAAGCGGUGCCGUGGCGCUCAUUAGCAGAA